GACGAACGCUGGCGGCGUGGAUUAGGCAUGCAAGUCGAACGGUAUCAUCCUUUCGGGGAUGAGAGAGUGGCGAACGGGUGAGUAACACGUAGGUGAUCUACCCUCAAGACGGGGACAACCCAGGGAAACUUGGGCUAAUACCGGAUGUGAGCUAUCGCGAGAUAGUUUGAAAGGUGGCUUCGGCUGCCGCUUGAGGAUGAGCCUGCGUCCUAUUAGCUAGUUGGUGAGGUAACGGCUCACCGAGGCAGUGAUAGGUAGGCGGCCUUAACGGGUGGUCGCCCACACUGGGAUUGAGAUACGGCCCAGACUCCUACGGGAGGCAGCAGUCGAGAAUAGUCUACAAUGGCCGAAAGGCUGAUAGUGCGACGCCGCGUGAACGAAGAAGCCCUUCGGGUGUAAAGUUCUUUUAUAUGUGAGCAGUGCUUUCUAUGUGAACAGCAUAGGUGAGAGAGAUUAAGUUACGACUAAUAUAGUAAAGUAAGAACGAACGGUACUAACCGUCCGUCCG
RNAcentral lists this ribosomal RNA (508 nucleotides) under uncultured bacterium. RNAcentral describes it as "bacterial SSU rRNA". It matches the Rfam family "Bacterial small subunit ribosomal RNA", at positions 28 to 525 of the family's 1533-position model. The record is from RNAcentral.